Molecule: ribosomal RNA, 468 nt
Filed under: uncultured bacterium
Lineage: Bacteria
Description: partial 16S ribosomal RNA
Rfam family: Bacterial small subunit ribosomal RNA
Source: RNAcentral
GACGAACGCUGGCGGUGUGCUUAACACAUGCAAGUCGAACGGUAAGGCCCUUUCGGGGGUCCACGAGUGGCGAACGGGUGAGUAACACGCGAGUAACCUACCCUCCUCUCUGGGAUAACUGUCGUAAACGGUUUCUAACACUUGAUAUGUGCUUGCAAGGCAUCUUUUGGGUUGGAAAGAUUUUUUUUGGUUGGGGAUGGACUCGCGGCCUAUCAGCUUGUUGGUGAGGUAGUGGCUCACCAAGGGUUCGACGGGUGGCCGGCCUGUGAGGGCGACCGGGGACAUUGGGGGUGAGAGACGGGCCAAACUCCUACGGGAGGCGGCGGAGGGGAGUAUAGCACAAUGGACGGGAGACUGAGGCAGCGACGCCGCGUGCGGGAUGACGGCGUUCGGGUGGUAAACCGCUUUCAAGUGUGACGAAGCGUGUUUGUGACGGUAGCGGUAAAAGAAGCACCGGCUAACUACGUG